CCUACGGGUGGCAGCAGUGGGGAAUAUUGCGCAAUGGGCGAAAGCCUGACGCAGCGACGCCGCGUGAGGGAUGAAGGUCUUCGGAUCGUAAACCUCUGUCAGCAGGGAAGAACGGUCCCUGUGCUAAUCAGCAGUGAAUUGACGUUACCUGCAAAGGAAGCACCGGCUAACUCCGUGCCAGCAGCCGCGGUAAUACGUAGGGUGCGAGCGUUAAUCGGAAUUACUGGGCGUAAAGCGCUCGUAGGCGGUAUGUCAAGUCAAGGGUGAAAUCCCCGCGCUCAACGGGGGAACUGCCUUUGAAACUGGCAGACUGGAGUGUGGGAGAGGAGAGGGGAAUUCAAGGUGUAGGAGUGAAAUCCGU
RNAcentral lists this ribosomal RNA (361 nucleotides) under uncultured bacterium. Its description in RNAcentral is "partial 16S ribosomal RNA". It matches the Rfam family "Bacterial small subunit ribosomal RNA", at positions 338 to 691 of the family's 1533-position model. The record is from RNAcentral.